Molecule: long non-coding RNA, 6673 nt
Filed under: Hordeum vulgare
Lineage: Eukaryota; Viridiplantae; Streptophyta; Magnoliopsida; Poales; Poaceae
Description: long non-coding RNA (HVUL_LNC015147)
Source: RNAcentral
AUCCUUCAAGGCUUAGUGUUAGUUGUUCAACCAAUAAGAAUGGAUUUUCUUGAACUCCUUAAAAUGCAGAUCCUUGUUAUAUCCACUGUUCAUUGAAAGUACUUCUUUGGUAUUUUAUGCCUAUUAGAUGCAUGGCCAUACCAUUGAACUUAGUAUGUUUCCAUUAUUCAAAUUCUUAGUAUUCAUCUCUUUCUAUGUUGCACACUCAAGAACGUGUACUAUGCUUUGUCUGUCGAAAUGGUACACUUGCAAUUGGUUAAUAAAUCUUUUCCAAUAGCAUAACAGAUCCUUAGACUCCCUCAAAAAAGAUCCUUAUCUUGUUCUUUAUGCCAUUGAAUUUAGUCUUUUUUUAUUAUUCAGUUUCUUGCAAUUCAUAUUUAUCUACGUUAUACAGUCAAGAACAUGUUUACUAUGCUAAACUUGUUUAUUUGUUUGUCGGUACAAAUGGUACAAUUGCAUUUAGCUAAUCAACCUCGCCUACUAGCAUAACAGAAUCCCGAACUCCCUAAAAAACAGGUCCUUAGGCCAACUCCAACUCCAACGCAGAGACCCAAAUUUUGUCUUUUUUUUUGUCGGUUCGGGUCUUCAAACAGAUAGACCAAAACAGGUGGACAGGCAGACACGACCUGUGAACUCAACUUGAAGGUCCUAUUUGGGAGGGACAUGCGGAUUCUUCCUCAUUCUUUCUCUAUCCCGCCGCACUGUGUGAGCCGCGAGAUGUGCGCUUCGACUCGUGGCCGCUGCGGCGACGUGCUCCUGCUCCAAGUACGCGAUGGCGAGGAGGCUCGAGAUGUGCGCUCUUGCUCCAAGUACGCGCCGAUGAGGAGUCCCGAGAUGUGCUGCCUGUCCGCGGGUCAUGUGGUAGCGCAUGGAGUUCCAUGAGCUGCGCGAUGACGCUGGGCGCGUCUGCCAUGCCAGGGGACACCGCGGGCGACGCCGUUCUCCAGCGACAGGUGCGGCAACCUCCAGGAUGCGGCCAGGGCCCCCUAUCCUAAAGGUCCAGUGAAGGAAGCUGGAGCACCGGCCUUGGCACCGUAGGUAGGGACUCGCUGGCGGCAGAGGCCUCGAGGCCGAGUGGAGGAUGGCCGGGAGGCCGCGCUCCAGCACGAACUGCACCUGCGUCAUGGCAGGAUCACCAUCCCGUGCACGGCCAUGCGUGUCGAGCGCGUUGCCCUAGCCGCCACGACCUCUUGUAUGAUCCUCUACAACUAGAUUUGCAUGCCUUAGAUUUUACUGAAAAGAACAUAGUUUUCCUUGAAACUUAGCUGGAUCAUGUAAUAAUUCAUGUAAUAAUUCCAGAUAUUUACUUAUAUGCUGAUAGAACAUGUUAGAUUAGACCUUAUGCUCAAUGAUAACCGAAUAUACUCCCUCCGGUUCUUGGAAAGUCUUCAAAAUACAACUUUAACUCCUUAGAUUUCACUAGAUAUUUCUUCUUCAUAUAUUUUCAUAGAGCUCUCUGAAAUUAUACUUUUUUGAAAAUACGUUAUGAGACCUACACAUUGUUAGGAAAGCAACUUAUCUUCCCAUGAGGCCAUAGGCCGAUAUAUAUACAUGUACAGGUUAUGGACUAUAUGCAGGAAAACCCCUUAUAUAUUGGGAUAAAUACAAAAGGGUACAUGACUUGUAUUAUAACUCUAACACCCCCCCUCAAACUCAUGGUGGAUGAACAACACUGAGUUUGGAGAGAUAAAAGCCAUGUUGUGCUCUAGUCUGGGCCUUCGUCAGGAAAUCCGCCAACUGUAACUCGGAAGGCACAUACUGAAGAGCAACAACCUGAUCCUGCACAGCAGCGCGCACAUAGAAAGCAUCAACACCAAUAUGCUUGGUGAGCUCAUGCUUCACAGGAUCGCGCGCAAUGCUAAUAGCACCUGUACUGUCAGAUAAGAGCAGAGUCGGUGUAGUGACAGAAACACCAAAAUCCUGAAGUAACCACCGUAACCAAGUCACCUCUGCCGUCAAAAGAGCCAUCGCUCGCAACUCAGCCUCUGCACUCGAACGGGAAACGGCAAUCUGUUUCUUCUUCUUCCAGGCAAUGAGAGAACCACCAAGAAAAACACAGUAAGCAGAAAGUGAACGGCGAUCUGAAGGAUCACUAGCCCACGUAGCAUCCGAAUAGGCCUGAAGCUGUAAAGAACUGGAGCGAGGAAAGAAUAAACGAUGAGAGAUUGUGCCCCGAAGAUAUCGGAGAACACGGAGGAGAUGACUAUAGUGAACCGAUGUGGGAGUAGAGACAAACUGACUCAGAAUAUGAACCGGAUAAGAAAUAUCCGGACGAGUGACAGCUAGAUAAACAAGACUGCCAACAAGAUGACGAUAGCGCGUCGGGUCAGGCAGGGGAUCACCAUCAGUAGCAGAGAGGUGAACAUUGAGCUCCAUAGGAGUCUCAACAAUGCGCUCAUCAGUAAGAGCAGCACGAGCAAGAAGAUCCUGGAUAUACUUUUCCUGGGAUAUAAAAAAGCCAUCAGAGGUAGAAGAGACUUCAAUCCCAAGAAAGUAGCGAAGAGGUCCAAGAUCAGACAUAAGGAACUGCUCACUAAGACGAGCCUUGACAAAGGCAAUAUACUCAGGGUCAUCCCCAGUGAUGACCAUGUCAUCAACAUAAAGAAGAAGAAUAGUCCGACCACGAGGAGAAAGGUGAAUAAAUAAUGCUGGAUCAUGAACACUGGGUGAAAAACCAGCGGCAGUCACCACAGAGGCAAAACGCUCAAACCAGGCUCGGGGGGCUUGCUUAAGGCCAUAGAGAGAGCGACGAAGACGGCAUACCAUGCCAUCAGGAACAGAAUACCCAGGUGGAGGUUGCAUGUACACCUCCUCACGCAGCUCACCAUUAAGAAAAGCAUUCUUAACAUCAAGCUGAGAGAUAGACCAGUGGCGUGUAGAGGCCACGGCAAGAAGUGUACGAACAGUGGUCAUAUGAGCCACAGGAGCAAAAAGUCUCGUCAUAAUCACGACCAUGCUCUUGCUGAAAACCACGAGCCACAAGACGAGCUUUGUGACGCUCAAGAGAACCAUCGGAUCGAGUCUUUACCUUGUAGACCCACUUACAAGUGAUGGGACGGCGGACUCCAGGAGGAAGGGAAACAAGAUCCACGUACUUGUGCGUUCAAGAGCAGCAAUCUCCUCAGCCAUCGCAAACUGCCAUUCAGGAUGAACAACAGCCUGAUGAUAAGUAGUCGGCUCAAGAACAGCAGCUCCAGCGGUGGAAAAGCCUAAGCGAUCAACAGGCGGACGAGGACGAGAACGCAAGCCAUAAGUAGGCUGAGACGAGGAUGACGACACAUCCAGAGAAGCAUCCACAGAACGUGAACGACGAGUGUAACACUGAGGAAAAGAUGGAACAAUGGAAGGAGGAAUCGCUAAAGUAGAAUCGGAGAGUGGCGACAAAGAAGUCACCGGAGAUGAAGGUGUAGAAUCCGGUGACAUGCUAGACGAGGAGACCGUGGAAGAUGGUGGCGACAAAUCGACGGGAGGUGGAGAAGCAGAGGGAGCGGAAUGAGUAGGCAAAGGCUCGACGAGUGUGAUAGGCGUGUCAGGAAAAGUGAGAAAAGAGAUAUCCUCUACUGAAAAAGUCGAGGAAGAUGGGCGUGGGUAGAAGGGACGAGACUCAUCAAAAGUCACAUCCCGAGAGAUACGUAUCCGACGACCGAUAGGAUCCCAACAACGAUAGCCCUUAUGCUCAUCACUAUAGCCUAAGAAGACACACUCAACAGACUGAGCGGUCAGUUUGGUGCGUUCGCGGGGGGCAAGAAGAACAUAGCAAACACAACCAAACAAGCGAAGCGUCGAAUAAUCGGGAGACCGAUCAAAAAGACACUCGAAAGGAACACCACCCUGUAGAGCAGCGGAAGGCUGGAAAUUGAUGAGAUAGGUGGAGGUGGAGACGGCCUCAGCCCAAAAAUGCGGCGGGAGAGAGGCAGCAAUCAUCAAUGCACGAGCCGUCUCAAGAAGAUGGCGAUGCUUGCGCUCAGCCACGCCAUUCUGAGCAUGAGCACCAGGACAAGAGAAUUGAGAGAGAGUCCCUUGCUCAGCAAGAACACCACGCAACAUCUUAGAGAUAUACUCGCCAGCGGAGUCAGCACGAAACACACGAAUGGGAGAAGAGAACUGAGUAUGAACCAUGGCAGCAAAACGCUUAUAAAUGGACAACACCUCACUACGAGAAGUCAUGAAAUAAAGCCAUGUGUAACGAGAGAAGUCAUCUAUGAAAAUAAUAUAGUAUUUAUGACCCCCUUUCGAAUCGAAGGGAGCCGGACCCCAUACAUCGGAAUGGACUAAAUCAAAAGGACGCUUAGACACUGACUCACUAUGUGGAUAUGGUAACUGAAUCUGCUUGCCAAGACGACAACCCUGACACUUUAAGGAGGCAUCUCCUGAGACAGACCCCAGAAGACCUCGACGAACUAACGACGUCAAACGAGAACCACACAGAUGACCAAGUCGAUGAUGCCACUGCUGGAAAGAACCAGUAGCCGAGGCGACCAAAGCGGAAGAACUGGCGAGAGAAUGGGCAGAGGAAGGAACAUGAAGCCAGUCCACCUCCCAAAGACCCUCAGAAUCACGGCGGCGAGGGCCAGCCCCAACCAGAGUGUGCGUGCGACGGUCCUGGACAGAACAAGAGUCAAGAUCAAGGAUGACACGACAACCAGAAUCAGCAAGUUGAGCAGCGGAAAACAAAUUCAUGGUAAGUCGAGGAACAUGAGCAACAUCAGGAACAGAAUAAGAAGGAGUGGUAAGAGUGCCUCUACUAACGACAUGAAGGGGAAUACCAUCAGCGGUGAGGACAUGAACAGGAGAAUCAAGCGAACGAAGAGAGGACAGAGUGGAAGAAUUAGAAGUCAUAUGAAAGGAAGCUCCAGAGUCCAGAACCCAUGGGGAUGUACCUGACUGUGAAGAAGGUGGUUGCUCAGUGCGGGAAGCCUCAGUCAUAGAACCAGCAGUACCCGUUGAGGAAGAACCUGAAGCAGCGAGCAGACGCUUAAGUCUCAGAAUAUCCUGCUCAGUCAAAGCGAUGGCUGAAGCUGUCGAGGUAGAUGACGAAGUCGCUGUAGAUGAUGACCGCGCCUUGCGCAAGUGUUUCUUCUUCGUGUAGCAGUGGGGCUCAAUAUGACCAUCAUUGUUGCAGUAGUUACAAUGUGGACGGGGGCGAGCUGAGCCGCCAGAAGGAGUGGGCAAGAGCGGCGGAUCACUCGAGCGAGAAGGGGUCGGUGCAGCAGGUGGCAUAGAAAAAGUCCGAGCAGCGAGCACCGAGGGAACCUCCAGCAAACCAGCACCACGUAAGCGAGUCUCCUCAGCACGAACCUCAGAAAGCGCCUCCAUGAGAGAAAUACGGCCACGAGCAAACAACUGAGCACGCCGGGGCUCAAACUCCUUACGGAGCCGAGACAGGAACUCGUAGACGCGAUGAAACUCCAAGUCGGCCUGGACAGCCUGGCAACAGGGGCAAGUACGACAACCAGCACUGCGAAGAGAAUCAAGCUGGCGCCAGAUAGCAGAACUUUGUGCAUAGAAGUCAUCAACAGUAGAGUCACCCUGCUGAAGAGCAUGCUCCUGACGGACCAUAGAGAGGUAUAAGGCAUCACCAGAGGGCUCAUAGCGCUGACGAAGGCGGGUCCACAUCUCAAAUACAGUAGGAAGGCCCAGAAACUCAGAAGCACACUGAGGCAGAACACUAGCAGUGAGAACAGCGGCAGCACGAGCAUCAUCAUCAAGCCACUGGGUGUAAACGGACAGAGCACCAUGAUACAGCUGAAGAGCCUCCUCAUAAGCCAAGACCUUCUCAUCAUAAGCACUCACAGCGGCCUCAUCAGCAAGCUUAGUCGCAUCCUUUGCGGCCUGAGAAGCAUCCGCAGGAAGAGCCGGUGGGGUCGGCGGAGUGGGAGCCACGGGAGGAACCGGACAUGGCGGACAACAGACCUCGCCGGAAAGAAAACCCCAUAGGCGGAUGCCACGCAUGUGAAUGCGCAUGAAGCCAAUGAACUCGGUGUAGUUAGUGCCAUCAAAGAUCACCGGACAACGAGGAACAACAACAUAGCCAGUAGACUUUUUUUUUUUUUUUGGAAAGAAAUCAGUCAACGGGAGGAAACCGCGUCGACAGCAGAAGGCGAGACUCGGCCUGGGGGCCCCGUCGGUAGUGGAGACCGCGUCGAAUAGAGCAGAUCAGGCCAGGGUCGCGGUCAACGGACAACACAACAGGGUCCCGGGGCACUGGAUCGGUCCUGGCGACGCGGGGCGACGCGCGGCAGAGCGAGGAAGGGCGGCGGCGACUGAAGCGGUCCUGGCGACGCGGGGCGACGCGCGGCAGAGCGAGGAAGGGCGGCGGCGACUGAAGCGGGCGGACGCGGGGCGACGCGUGGAGGAGCGGAUCUGGCAGGCGCGGGACGACCCUGCAGAUCGGUCCGGUGGCGUGCACUGGAUCGAAGAUGCGAUCUGGCGAGAGCCGCCUCGACCCGGGAUUGAAGCGACGCGUCGGGAGAUUGUAGAGACGCGGCUGGAGCUCCUCCACGUGCGGGACGAGGGCCGGUACCAGCGGUGGGAAAGCUAGAUCGGAAAAAACACGAGUUGCGCGUGCAAAAAGAACCUAAGCUCUAAUACCAUGUUAGGAAAGCAACUUAUCUUCCCAUGAGGCCAUAGGCCGAUAUAUAUACAUGUACAGGUUAUGGACUAUAUGCAGGAA